Molecule: unclassified non-coding RNA, 1300 nt
Filed under: Bombus terrestris (buff-tailed bumblebee)
Lineage: Eukaryota; Metazoa; Arthropoda; Insecta; Hymenoptera; Apidae
Description: misc RNA ENSBTSG00005036559.1
Source: RNAcentral
UCGGUUCUCGGUGCUGAAUUCCAUCGUGAACGCGAUUCUCUUGGUGCGAAAAGGGCCGUUCAGUGGACGUACGAGAAGUUGGCACAGGGCCAAAGGACAAAGAGAAGAAACGUUUUGGGGAAAGAAGAAAAUUUCGAGAACGCGAGGAAGAUACGAACAAAGGGGUGGAAGAAACGGGAAUUUUAAGGAUAUUACACGGUUAUCUCGCACGAUCUCGACAUCUGUUCUCGUGAUCAUACUAGUUGACGUCCAUGGCCUCCACGUCGGCUAUAAGGGUUGCUUCUCCGUGGAAACCCGGGGGUUGAUAUUUCAGGAGUGCGUGUACAAGCCGAUCGUAAAUUGUAAAAUCUAUCAAGACCAACGCGGUCGACAUAACUCAGGGGGUUGCUAUCCUGGUGGUAUGAAGCAUGGCGGCCAGACUCGGCAUAAAUACCCGGUAGCAGAACAGAGCAGGAGCAGAGAGCAAGCCCAGACCCGUUGUGGCGUGGCAACAUCAUCUAUCUCGAAUAAUUUAUUAUCGCGCGACUACCGCAUCCUCGAAAUCCGGACAAGAACGCAACUAUAGGAACUGUGAACCGGAAACGAGUGUCGUGCAUGGAGAUCCUAGAUGCGGCCGGCUUCCAGAUUCAACAGAUCUGCGAGAAAACUUCCGUGGGACGUCUUGGAAUUUAGCAUUCUAUUGAAAGUGCCGUUUUAUUAAUACGUACAAUGUAUAUAUAUAUAUAUAUAAGACUUACGUGUAUAAUUUUUACCAGAGAAUCGAUUGAAAUUCUUUAUUUUAAUUAUACGAUUGUUCUUCGUGGUUCAAUUUACUUUUGAAAAGCGUUAACAAUUAUAUGGUUGAAAAAGUAUAAGAAACGGACAAGUAUAGCAGAGAUGCAUAAUAUAUAAUAGUGUAAUAAAUCGUUUUAGCGUUAUUAUUAAUUUGGAUAUUAAUCUUUUACAAGUAAUCUUCCGAAAUGCAAUGGAAGGGAGAAUUGAAAAAUCUGUCUUAUUCGUUAUUUUCCUUAAAUAGCCUUAGAGUAUGCCUUGAAUAUUAUAUAUAUGUGAUGUUCUAAUAAUAUGUUUAUAAAAGAAAUGCAACGUGACUUUGAGAGCUUUGACGAGGAUUUCUUUCGUGUGUCUAAAAGAUCCAAAUCUAAAUACGAUUAUUUUGAAAACUUGAAAAUCAUACUCGAAAUUCAUUGGUAAUAAUAAAAACGUAAGAACAUGUGGUUAUCAUGAUGAUUAUUACGGUAAAUUGCGAAAGAAAUCUGUACUGAUAAGUGUGUUAAAUUGCUCAUAGGUCUGCCUGCACUUU